CGAGCCACAGGACACGGAGCUGCAGACCAGGAUCAGGGCGGCGAGCAGGACCUCCACCAUCUGGCACCAGGCUGGAGGGGAGGCCGAGCUGCCCCAGCACAGAGCCUCUGUCUCCAGAUACAGUCACUAACAACUUGGGAUCUGUCCUGCCGUGCAGCUGUUAGGUUCCAGUUCAGCCCUUGGCAGACCAUGUUCAGGAGCAACAGCAAUAACCCUAUAGACUUAUAUGGUGAAAAGCCUAAAAACUGCACCUCAGCACUGUGGGAAAACACUCUCCUCGACACUUCACCUGAUUCCACAAAGGACUGGAGAUCUGAAAAUGCAUCUUAAAAUUUACUUUGGUUGUGGGAAGGAUCUGGUUUGGCUUGCCAUGGACCAAGAGCUCUGACCUGGUUCAGUGCCCUCCCUGGGAACUUGGAGGGUAAAGUGGUAAGAGCAAGUCAUGAGCUGCCUCAUAUGUCUCCAGUUUGAAGCAGCUGGGAGCUGCAGCACAAUCACUGCUGAACACCACAACCAGAUUUAUUGACUGUCCCACAUAAAUAAAUAAUCACAGGGACAAUGAGUGCAGCAUGAUGACGAUAGAGCAGUACUGUAGAAAAGAACUGGAGGUUACUGUGAAUGACAAACUGGACUCAAGUCCACAAUGUCAUCCUGUUGCGAAAAAACUAACAUUUCUAGGGUCUAUGAACAGGAGUGUCACAUGUAGGACAUGUGAAGAAAUUCUUCUGCCCCCACUUCAGCACUGGCUUGGCCUCAGUCUUGCACACUGUGUUUCCAGAGGCAAGUGGAUCAACUGAAGGGGAUUCAGAAGAAAGCAAAAGAAAUAUCUAGAAAUACAACCUAUGAGAAAAAGAUUGAUCACAGACAUCUCAUUUGAAAUAAUAAGCAUCUAUUAACAGCUUGCAAGCUUAUUAAUAGAGAGGUGUCUAGACAACUUGCAAACUUGUAAAAAACUCUUGUCAAGAGCAGGGAAAUGUUUUGUUCAUUCUGUUUGCUGUUGCAUGGUCAGGAAACAGAGAGCUUAGCUUGAAGCAAAAGGGAUUUCUUUUAGGCACCCUCAAUGUUUCUCACACACACUCCAACUGCACCAUUUUAUGAUAUGAACAGUUGUUGCAGGAGUGGAUUAGUCAGCAGAUGGUAGGUUUCCAUCACUGGGGCUGUAAUUCAGUCAUGGGAAGGCUGGCCUGUCUGUGUUCUUGUGAGAAGGAAGUGCUGGUGGUGCCCAUGCCACCCACUAUAAGCUCACAGUGUCAUCUCACCCCACAAAGCCACUGUGCCCCUUUCCACACCACCCCCAUUAGCUGGUCACUGUCCCAGUGGCUCCAAGGCCAUUGGAGGACAGCUGCUGUGACAUAUCAUGCAACAGCUCAAGUCUCUGAAGUCAUAAGUCAA
Vidua macroura (Pin-tailed whydah) is the source of this 1392-nucleotide long non-coding RNA. RefSeq lists it as uncharacterized. The transcript has 4 exons. Lineage: Eukaryota; Metazoa; Chordata; Aves; Passeriformes; Viduidae. The record is from RefSeq and is a predicted model, not a curated record.